AGCUCUUAAUAAUAUGGUGAGACCCGCUUAUUUUUAAAUUAUUUGAGCUGUCGUUAAUCCUGCUCUUAUGUGAACUCGCAGGUACAAUAGGAAUGCAAACUAAAUAGAUUAUCAAAGAUUUAUUAUAGAACCAUUCUUAAACUCAAACUCAAAUCAUAAUCAAUCAACUCUCGCUUCAAAGAUUAUCUGAUGUCUAAACCUAGAAUUCCAACUCUCAUAUGUGAAUCAAGGAGAGUGUUGACCGUCAUUCUAGGGGUGUCGUGUCGAGUCUGUCGACCAUCACUUUAGGGGUGUUGAUGGAUACUACUUUUAAACAAGCUUUAACGUACAUGUUUGAUGUGUUCACUAAACAUAUAUACCAACUCUCGUAUGUGCCUAACUGAUUAGCUCAUCUAGGUUCAAUUCAGGUGAAUGACUAUGCUCUUGCUUGCACCAAUCAUCCUAGGAUCUAGCUUUAAGGUGAUCAGUCCUAAAUUUAGCAUUAAGAUCAACUAGAUGAAGAACCUAUUGAUUUCCCUAACAAUAAUAUCGAUUUAGCAAACCAUUAAAUAAACUUUAAAGAACCUUAAACCUAAUAAUGGAAUUACUCAGACAUAAUCAUAAAGAGCAUAAUAAUAGUCUGAAUAAUUUGCAUAGAAAAAGUAGAGAAAUAAAGAGAGUUCAAAAUAUUCUCUCUGAAGGGGUUCAGAUUUCUUUCUUCAACUCUAAGCUCUCUCUGAUAAUAAUAUUAAGCACAUGUUACAAAAAUUUCAAAAAUUCUAGUAUAUAGUCUAUUUUUGGUCAUGGAUUUGUUGUACAAUUCUUAGAACUUCUAGGAAAACAUGUAUUUUUAUUUAAUCAUCAUUAAACUCGCGGAUAACGGAGUGUCGAUCGACAUUGUAAAUGGGUAUCAGUCGUCUUUUUGCAUGAACAGACUUCGACUUCAUGUUUUCCGAAGAGCUUUCCUCAAAGCUCCAAA
This 958-nucleotide long non-coding RNA is filed under the name Brassica napus (rape). Its description in RNAcentral is "long non-coding RNA (BNAP_LNC001232)". The record is from RNAcentral. Lineage: Eukaryota; Viridiplantae; Streptophyta; Magnoliopsida; Brassicales; Brassicaceae.